UCAUAUGUACAUGCCUACAACGUUAAUGCACCAGAUCCCAUUAUAACUAUGCAGUUAAGUGCAUUUAGGCUAGAUUAGUACUAGGAUGGGUGACCUUUCGGGAAGUCCUAGUGUUUUACAUGCC
Non-coding RNA from Picea glauca (white spruce), 124 nucleotides. The record is from Rfam. NCBI's taxonomy places the organism in Eukaryota, Viridiplantae, Streptophyta, Pinopsida, Pinales, Pinaceae.